AGUUCAUGCAAAGCCUCUAUUGCUGUAUCGCUUGCUGUGUGCAGUGUACAUCGAAAAUCAUACAGAUGUAAACUAGAAUACGGCAGCACUUCCUUGUUCUUUUAAGAGAAUUAUCAUUCUGUAGAUUUGUCCUCAUACUGGCGAUUCACAAGAAGAAUUUCUGCCAUGCGACGACAUAGUCGAGGGCCUCGAGGCUGUUGUAUACCGUAGCAACUAAAAGCAAGUGGCAUGAUUGCUAGCAUCAGUCGAAGAAUUGUCGUGUAGAAAGACAUUGUCGCGCAGGAGAAAGAACUUGUAAACGCUUUAUAGAGUCAAUUAGAUUGUUGCUUUCGUUCUGUUCUGAAAUGGUCUUAGUGAAAGUAUUUAUCAUGUUUGUAAUUUCCAUUACUUGCAUCAAUAUGAAACUCAACUGCAUACUUCGUUCAAGUGGGAGUGAGUCCAGUAAGAAGAUUGAUCAAUACCGUAUAUAUUAUAGACUAUUAUGGCUUUCACAACGUUUCCUCGAACAAAUGAGUGCUUGAUACUGAAAGCCCAGAGCAAAGCUACACCUGCAAAGCAUUCCAGCUGAUAAGAAUAAUGAAUCAUCUUUGGAGCAAAAUAUUAAAAACUGAAAGGCA
Long non-coding RNA from Xenia sp. Carnegie-2017, 617 nucleotides. RefSeq lists it as uncharacterized. NCBI's taxonomy places the organism in Eukaryota, Metazoa, Cnidaria, Anthozoa, Malacalcyonacea, Xeniidae. The transcript has 2 exons. The record is from RefSeq and is a predicted model, not a curated record.